Molecule: ribosomal RNA, 400 nt
Filed under: uncultured bacterium
Lineage: Bacteria
Description: bacterial SSU rRNA
Rfam family: Bacterial small subunit ribosomal RNA
Source: RNAcentral
CGGGAAUUUUGGGCAAUGGGCGAAAGCCUGACCCAGCAACGCCGCGUGAGGGAUGAAGUAUUUCGGUAUGUAAACCUCGAAAGAAUGGGAAGAAUAAAUGACGGUACCAUUUAUAAGCUCCGGCUAACUACGUGCCAGCAGCCGCGGUAAUACGUAGGGAGCAAGCGUUGCUCGGAUUUACUGGGCGUAAAGGGCGCGUAGGCGGCGCGGUAAGUCACUUGUGAAAUCUCUGAGCUUAACUCAGAACAGCCAAGUGAUACUGCUGUGCUAGAGUGCGGAAGAGGCAACCGGAAUUCUUGGUGUAGCGGUGAAUGCGUAGAUAUCAAGAGGAACACCUGAGGCGAAGGCGGGUUGCUGGGCCGACACUGACGCUGAUGCGCGAAAGCCAGGGGAGCAAACG